This 241-nucleotide ribosomal RNA is filed under the name uncultured bacterium. Its description in RNAcentral is "partial 16S ribosomal RNA". It matches the Rfam family "Bacterial small subunit ribosomal RNA", at positions 95 to 334 of the family's 1533-position model. The record is from RNAcentral.
CCGGCGCACGGGUGAGUAACACGUAUCCAACCUGCCGUCUACUCUUGGCCAGCCUUCUGAAAGGAAGAUUAAUCCAGGAUGGCAUCAUGAGUUCACAUGUCCGCAUGAUUAAAGGUAUUUUCCGGUAGACGAUGGGGAUGCGUUCCAUUAGAUAGUAGGCGGGGUAACGGCCCACCUAGUCAACGAUGGAUAGGGGUUCCGAGAGGAAGGUCCCCCACAUUGGAACUGAGACACGGUCCAA